Molecule: long non-coding RNA, 897 nt
Filed under: Cyclopterus lumpus (lumpfish)
Lineage: Eukaryota; Metazoa; Chordata; Actinopteri; Perciformes; Cyclopteridae
Description: lncRNA (ENSCLMG00005013980.1)
Source: RNAcentral
GUUCGUCUGUGCAGGUGCUGAUGGGGAGAAAGAUGGAGGAUUGGCUGAGGUUCUCAGUCUGCUACUGGCACUCCUUCUGUGGCACUGGUACUGUAGUACUGGUCCAACACUCAUAUCGUCAUCAGUCCUCAAACAGUCUGUGUGAAUAGGCUUUUGCAAAUGCACAUGAACGCUGUCAUGCUAUUGUCUUCUAGGCCAUUAUAGUUUCUGUCUUUUUGAGCCCAACAAAUGCUCUAUUCUUUCUUUCUUCUGUUAUUAGGAGCUGAUCCUUUUGGGUCUCCGACCCUCCACCGGCCCUGGAACAUAGGAACUCCUAUGGAAUCCGCCAAGAAGCGACUCCGGGCCGCUUUUGAGUUUUUCGCCAAGCUCGGGGUGAAAUACUACACAUUUCACGACAGAGAUAUGGCUCCUGAGGGCUCCACCCUGGAGGAGUCCAACAGGAAUCUGGAUGAAAUAACAGACCUGGCUCUCCAGCUGCAGAGCCAGACUGGAAUCAAGGUGCUGUGGAUCACCUGCAACCUCUUUGCCCACCCACGGUACAUGAACGGUGCAGCCACCAACCCGGACUGUCAUGUUCUGGCCUACGCUGGCGCUCAGCUUAAGAAGGGGCUUGAUACCGCCAAGAAGCUGUGUGCAGACAAUUUUGUGUUUUGGGGAGGAAGGGAAGGUUUCCUCUCCGUCCACAACACAGACGUUGCAGCGGAACUGAAGCACAUGGCCAACUUCUUCAAGAUGGCCGUCCGUAAGUGUGCUCGUGAACACAGGAUUAAUUCCAAAACAGAGUUUUUAGUCGGGUCACACUUUCUUUUUUUAAAAUUUCAUUUGUGUGUAUUUGUCAUUAGAGUACAAAGAGAAGAUUGGGUUAAAAUGUCAGUUUCUUAUCGAACCCAAGCCUAA